CUAAUACUCCCUCCGUCCAGAAAUAUUUGUCGUGGAAAUGGAUGUAUCUAGAUGUAUUUUAGUUCUAUAUACAUUCAUUUGUAGUCAUUUUUGUAACAAGUAAUUUCGAACGAAGGAAGUAUAAA
This 125-nucleotide microRNA precursor is filed under the name Hordeum vulgare. RNAcentral's name for it is "microRNA MIR1122". It matches the Rfam family "MIR1120/MIR1122 microRNA precursor family". The record is from RNAcentral. Lineage: Eukaryota; Viridiplantae; Streptophyta; Magnoliopsida; Poales; Poaceae.